RNAcentral lists this long non-coding RNA (267 nucleotides) under Malus domestica (apple). Its description in RNAcentral is "long non-coding RNA (MDOM_LNC013753)". Lineage: Eukaryota; Viridiplantae; Streptophyta; Magnoliopsida; Rosales; Rosaceae. The record is from RNAcentral.
AGAGCAACGCACAAAACCCUCUUUGGCAAUUAGCCUUUAACAAAGAUGAUAUAGCAAAAAGACUUCAAGAUUCAACACUCCGGCAAUUGGCCUUCAAGGAGUAGAAAACAAUAUACAAUUCAAGAGGAAAUGGCAAUUGGCCUUCUUAAUCCUCCAACCCUUCAACAGAAAACUGGCUAUCGGCCUUGUACAUGAACAAAUUGUAAAGAAAACUUACUGACACAAUUCAUCAAACACUUGGAGUGCACCGAGUUGAUUUCUCCAGAA